This 253-nucleotide ribosomal RNA is filed under the name uncultured bacterium. RNAcentral's name for it is "partial 16S ribosomal RNA". It matches the Rfam family "Bacterial small subunit ribosomal RNA", at positions 524 to 776 of the family's 1533-position model. The record is from RNAcentral.
UACGUAGGGUGCGAGCGUUAAUCGGAAUUACUGGGCGUAAAGCGUGCGCAGGCGGUUCGUUGUGUCGGUGGUGAAAUCCCCGGGCUUAACCUGGGAACUGCAUUUGUGACUGCAUAGCUAGAGUACGGUAGAGGGGGAUGGAAUUCCGCGUGUAGCAGUGAAAUGCGUAGAUAUGCGGAGGAACACCGAUGGCGAAGGCAAUCCCCUGGACCUGUACUGACGCUCAUGCACGAAAGCGUGGGGAGCAAACAGG